AAAUUAGAAGAAAGGCGAAUGAAUGAAUGGGAAUUUUCUUGAUUUUGUAGCAAAUGCAAUUAUGAAAUAUUUACAGAAGGGAAAAAGAUUGAGCAUUAAAAAGCACACACAAUUGAAAUUAAAAGAUAAUGCACAAUAUGCACAAGUAUAUACAUAUUAAGAGUAAAAAAAGCCUUAAUUUAUAAUAUUAAUCUACUACUGCUACUAAACGAAAAGCUUCAAGCUUGCUGUAUAUGUUACAGCUGAGGUUUGAAGAAAAAAAAAAAUCCUCCUGGUUAAGGUUAGAUCAGAAGAAGACCAUUCAUGCUCAUAUACUUACCUCUGUCGCUGAACCGAAGUUGGUUAAGUAGGCAAGAAACAGGAAUAAUUAAGCUAGCUUAGCACCUGUUUCAUUCAAGUAAGUACAUAUAUAGGAAGAGAAUUUUAAUUAAUAGACUUACCAGAGAAUUUCAUAGAAGCAUGCAUGGAGAAAUUGGAGAUUGAGAAUAGUUUUUAGCAGACAGGGAUAAGCUUGGUGCUUCCACUCCUCAUCAUCCUCUUAAAUUCAUCAAAAUUAACCAUUCCAUCUCCAUCCAUAUCAACCUUUUUAAUCAUUUCUUUGCAAUCUUCUAUUCUUUUUCCUUCCUUUAAUCCCAAAGAAGACAAUACCAAUCCAAGUUCUUCCACAGAUAUCAAUCCAUCUUUAUCUCUAUCAAAUACAUCAAAUGCCUCCUUCAAAUCUCCUUGCCCUUCUGCUUCUCCAUUCCCACCAUCAUCCUCUAAUUCUUGACCACCAUCUCCCAUGAUGUCCUCGCACAAGAAGCAAAACUCUUCGUAAUCUAUCAACCCAUCUCCAUUAGAAUCAACCUUUGCCACCAUUUCUUCAACUUCCUUCUCCGUCAUGAAGAUUCUUAUGUUCUUGAGUGACUCUCUCAGCUCAUGUUUUGUUAUAAACCCGUCGCCAUUCUUGUCAAACGUAGCAAACACACUUUUCAGCUGUCCCUUGUUCUUGCUAUUAUCACAAGAAGUGCUAGUGUUCUUUUUCAUCUGUGGAGAAACUUCGGAAGAAGCUGAAGGAUUCUUGAAGAGAAAAGAUUGGAGCCAAGAACACAGCUUCUUGGAAGGAGCAUAGAAGUAAAUAUUAAAGAGACCAGCGAGGAAGAGAAAAAGUAGAAGUAAGAGCAUAGCAGCUGAUGAGACCAUGUUUGGAUGAAAUGGAAGAAUAAAGAUAGAGAAGAGAGAAAACGAGAAAGGACAAAUAAAGGUAGUAGAGC
This 1253-nucleotide unclassified non-coding RNA is filed under the name Hevea brasiliensis (rubber tree). Lineage: Eukaryota; Viridiplantae; Streptophyta; Magnoliopsida; Malpighiales; Euphorbiaceae. The record is from RNAcentral.